CCCUUAGAUGUCCUGGGCCGCACGCGCGCUACACUGAUGCAUGCAACGAGUUUAUAACCUUGGCCUGAAAGGUCUGGGUAAUCUUUUGAACGUGCAUCGUGGUAGGGAUAGAUUAUUGCAAUUGUUAAUCUUGAACGAGGAAUUCCUAGUAAACGCGAGUCAUCAGCUCGCAUUGAUUACGUCCCUGCCCUUUGUACACACCGCCCGUCGCACCUACCGAUUGAAUGGUUCGGUGAAGAUCUCGGACUUCGAUAUUUAUUCUUUAUUGAGUUUAUAUUGUGGGAAGUUAUCUAAACCUCAUCAUUUAGAGGAAGGUGAAGUCGUAACA
This 328-nucleotide ribosomal RNA is filed under the name uncultured eukaryote. RNAcentral describes it as "partial 18S ribosomal RNA". It matches the Rfam family "Eukaryotic small subunit ribosomal RNA", at positions 1470 to 1796 of the family's 1831-position model. The record is from RNAcentral.